RNAcentral lists this long non-coding RNA (1212 nucleotides) under Strigops habroptila (Kakapo). RNAcentral describes it as "lncRNA (ENSSHBG00005019224.1)". The record is from RNAcentral. Lineage: Eukaryota; Metazoa; Chordata; Aves; Psittaciformes; Psittacidae.
AAACAGCUUAUUCUGAUAAAAGAGUGACAAAUCUGUAUGCUUACAAGAAGACUGAAGGAUUGUGUCUUGCAACAUCAGCUGUUUUAUUUAUGAUGUGUAAGUAGCAUAGAGCAAAGAGAUUGUUUGUAUACUUGUUAUCUUUGGUACCAUUUCACUAAUAAAAUCAAGUAUUUUAGAGGGAAGUUUCUGCUAGUAUAUACUUAUUAAAGGAAUAUUUUUAGUUGAUCUGGUCUCAUUCAUGCAGCUUCUUUAAUUAGAAAUGUGGAUACCAGUGAAAAUAUAAACGUACUAUAGUAUCUUUGAAAAGCUGGGUUUCUCCUUUGGGAGGAAUUAUAAUUCUUGCAGUGUAUCAUGUUUCAGCUGAUACUAGUUUGAUUUCUUGAUUUUGAUUAUAAAUCAGUUGCAAAAUAUAUAAAGGAUUGUGUACAGUUAGCUAAGAAACAUACCUUUGGAAAUUAAUAGUUAAGGAUGGCCGCCUUAUUAUCUAACUUAUCCCAUGUAUAAGUCCAUAUGCACCACAUUGUUACAUUGUUCGUGAAUUAAUAAUUCCCUUACAAAAAAGGCUUUUAUUUGUUUUGUUUUUAAAGGCAAAGGCCGAAAACAACCACCCACCAAGCACAGACAUUUCCUCCUCACCUCAAGUCAUAUUUUCUUAUGAAUGCUGUAUUUUCUGGGUUUGCUUUGUAAAUACAGUGCAGAUCUGUAGGGUUCUGUCUCUUCGUACUAGGUGUUUUGCAGUUCCCCUCUUCCUAAAAAGCCACUAGUAGAAAAUGACUAUUCUGUAAAAUGCCUGUUUCUGCAGAGGAUUGCUCAUUUUCAAACUGGUAGUGUAACACAGUAAUGAAGUCUCUGCUUGCUCCAGCAGGAUUGUGUGCAUCAUCCAUUAAACGUGUUUGUACUCCACUGGAAUUGCCUUCAUCGUUAACUGGUUUGCAUGCUGAGCUGCCAUGGUAGAUUGCUUGGUUUUGCACUUCAUAAAUGAGAUUACAUGGAGUGACGUUUUGAGAACAGUGUAGUUCAUGAUAGUUUUAUUGUUUUAAAUGUAAUUUCAUUUGUGUCGGCCUUUAUUUGAAAACAUGACUCAUAAUUGCUUAGAAAAGUGAUUAGCCAUUUUGCUAAGGCCAUGUAAAGCAUGUAUGUGUAAGCUUCUGUUAGUGGCUACAGUUAUCUUACAGCAGUGUCUCUGGGUAACGGACAGGAUUUUUCUUAGGA